This 429-nucleotide ribosomal RNA is filed under the name Chloroflexota bacterium. Its description in RNAcentral is "Chloroflexi bacterium partial 16S ribosomal RNA". It matches the Rfam family "Bacterial small subunit ribosomal RNA", at positions 355 to 776 of the family's 1533-position model. The record is from RNAcentral. Lineage: Bacteria; Bacillati; Chloroflexota.
UGGGGAAUAUUGCACAAUGGGCGCAAGCCUGAUGCAGCCAUGCCGCGUGUAUGAAGAAGGCCUUCGGGUUGUAAAGUACUUUCAGCGGGGAGGAAGGGAGUAAAGUUAAUACCUUUGCUCAUUGACGUUACCCGCAGAAGAAGCACCGGCUAACUCCGUGCCAGCAGCCGCGGUAAUACGGAGGGUGCAAGCGUUAAUCGGAAUUACUGGGCGUAAAGCGCACGCAGGCGGUUUGUUAAGUCAGAUGUGAAAUCCCCGGGCUCAACCUGGGAACUGCAUCUGAUACUGGCAAGCUUGAGUCUCGUAGAGGGGGGUAGAAUUCCAGGUGUAGCGGUGAAAUGCGUAGAGAUCUGGAGGAAUACCGGUGGCGAAGGCGGCCUCCUGGACGAAGACUGACGCUCAGGUGCGAAAGCGUGGGGAGCAAACAGG